GCAAGUCGAGCGAGGCCAGGGGGCAACUCCUGAGUCGAGCGGCGAACGGGUGAGUAACGCGUGGAUGACCUGCCCUUUAGUGGGGAACAACCAGGGGAAACUCUGGCUAAUACCGCAUAAGACCGAGAGGUGAAAGGGGGCUCGCAAGAGCUCUCGCUGAAGGAGGGGUCCGCGUCCGAUUAGCUAGUUGGUAGGGUAAUGGCCUACCAAGGCCACGAUCGGUAGCCGGCCUGAGAGGGUGAUCGGCCACACUGGAACUGAGACACGGUCCAGACUCCUACGGGAGGCAGCAGUGGGGAAUUUUGCGCAAUGGGCUAACGCCUGACGCAGCAACGCCGCGUGGAGGAUGAAGGUCUUUGGAUUGUAAACUCCUGUCAGCGGGGAAAAAGCGACUCGUGCUCAUACCACGGGGAGUUGAUUGUACCCGCAGAGGAAGCCCCGGCUAACUCUGUGCCAGCAGCCGCGGUAAUACAGAGGGGGCAAGCGUUAUUCGGAAUUAUUGGGCGUAAAGGGCGCGUAGGCGGCUUGGCAAGUGGAAGGUGAAAUCCCUCGGCUUAACCGAGGAACUGCCCUCCAAACUGCUUUGCUUGAGGCCGGGAGAGGUGAGUGGAAUUCCCAGUGUAGCGGUGAAAUGCGUAGAUAUUGGGAGGAACACCAGUGGCGAAGGCGGCUCACUGGACCGGUUCUGACGCUGAGGCGCGAAAGCGUGGGGAGCAAACGGGAUUAGAUACCCCGGUAGUCCACGCCGUAAACGAUGAGUGCUUGGUGUAGCGGGUAUCGACCCCUGCUGUGCCGA
RNAcentral lists this ribosomal RNA (796 nucleotides) under uncultured Bacillota bacterium. RNAcentral's name for it is "bacterial SSU rRNA". It matches the Rfam family "Bacterial small subunit ribosomal RNA", at positions 57 to 849 of the family's 1533-position model. The record is from RNAcentral. Lineage: Bacteria; Bacillati; Bacillota.